This 186-nucleotide non-coding RNA is filed under the name Gammaproteobacteria bacterium. RNAcentral describes it as "6S RNA". It matches the Rfam family "6S / SsrS RNA". From Rfam's summary of the family: E. coli 6S RNA was the first non coding RNA to be sequenced, but its function was unknown until recently. It consists of 184 nucleotides that fold into an extended hairpin structure with a large single-stranded internal bulge. The 6S RNA specifically associates with RNA polymerase holoenzyme containing the sigma70 specificity factor. The record is from RNAcentral. Lineage: Bacteria; Pseudomonadati; Pseudomonadota; Gammaproteobacteria.
UUCCUCCUGCGGUGUUCGUGAUGAACCCGGAAGUCUUUCGACCCUACAUUUCAGAUUGGGGUCAAUAGUCUGUCGGCAGCUUUGUGCACUACCGCCGGUUGCGGAUAGCCUGCUCUGUCACGGCUGACCCCACCUUCCGCUCUGGUUCGAGAGUAAGUGGUUGAUCACGGCACAUGCGGGAGGGGC